This 734-nucleotide ribosomal RNA is filed under the name Salmonella enterica. Its description in RNAcentral is "partial 23S ribosomal RNA". It matches the Rfam family "Bacterial large subunit ribosomal RNA", at positions 2200 to 2925 of the family's 2925-position model. The record is from RNAcentral. Lineage: Bacteria; Pseudomonadati; Pseudomonadota; Gammaproteobacteria; Enterobacterales; Enterobacteriaceae.
CCACCCUUUAAUGUUUGAUGUUCUAACGUGGACCCGUAAUCCGGGUUGCGGACAGUGUCUGGUGGGUAGUUUGACUGGGGCGGUCUCCUCCUAAAGAGUAACGGAGGAGCACGAAGGUUGGCUAAUCCUGGUCGGACAUCAGGAGGUUAGUGCAAUGGCAUAAGCCAGCUUGACUGCGAGCGUGACGGCGCGAGCAGGUGCGAAAGCAGGUCAUAGUGAUCCGGUGGUUCUGAAUGGAAGGGCCAUCGCUCAACGGAUAAAAGGUACUCCGGGGAUAACAGGCUGAUACCGCCCAAGAGUUCAUAUCGACGGCGGUGUUUGGCACCUCGAUGUCGGCUCAUCACAUCCUGGGGCUGAAGUAGGUCCCAAGGGUAUGGCUGUUCGCCAUUUAAAGUGGUACGCGAGCUGGGUUUAGAACGUCGUGAGACAGUUCGGUCCCUAUCUGCCGUGGGCGCUGGAGAACUGAGGGGGGCUGCUCCUAGUACGAGAGGACCGGAGUGGACGCAUCACUGGUGUUCGGGUUGUCAUGCCAAUGGCACUGCCCGGUAGCUAAAUGCGGAAGAGAUAAGUGCUGAAAGCAUCUAAGCACGAAACUUGCCCCGAGAUGAGUUCUCCCUGAGACUUAGAGUCUCCUGAAGGAACGUUGAAGACGACGACGUUGAUAGGCCGGGUGUGUAAGCGCAGCGAUGCGUUGAGCUAACCGGUACUAAUGAACCGUGAGGCUUAACCUUACA